AAUUAUUUCCUCUCUUUCACAAUAGUUUUUCUUUUUCUUCUUCUCUCUCUUUCUUCUCGUUAUUCCUCCUCCCCCCUCUGUCUCUCUUUUCUUCCCCGACUCACAAAUUGGGUCUUCAAUUUAUAUCCCUCUCUCUUCCUCCUCCACUAUCUUUUAUCCCUCUCUCUUUACAUAUAUACACAUCUCUAUCAACAUCAUUAUCAUGCCCACCUUCAGAUCUACACAUUUGCACCAAUAUUUUCUACGUACGUUAUGAAAUUGGUUUCUCGUUCUUUUAAAUCUGUUUUGAUUUAUUUUAAAUGUAUUUAACAGAGUUUCUGGUGUUUUUGCUGGUGUUUACCAUCAGAAAUCAUAUAUAUUUCGUCAAUUUAAAAUUUGAUUUCUGUUUGAUUUGUUGGAUUGGUGUUAGAUCUGGUUUGAAGGAGUCUAGAUUUGCAUUUGGAUCUGGGUAGUCGUCGGAUUCUAGAGCUGGGCUGUUAUGUGGGUGAUGGUUGCUUCUUCUACUGCUGAUCCGAUCUGGUUUGUCGACAUGUUCGUCGAUAUUUUGCUGGUUGUGGGCAGCGCAUGGGAUCCCUGUCAUGACUGGUUGGUUGUUUUUAAUCAGCAGAUCCUUAAUCCAAAAUACUCAACAAUGGCGACAAAGAUGCUUUUUUAGAGACCCCUCUCUCUACUUAGAAAAUUGUUGAUUUGAGUUUAGAAAAUGGUGAUUUGUCUAAAUUCUUUACUGUUAUAAUUUUAUUUUAUUUUGCCAUUGAAGAUGGAUAUUGUUUUAGUAGUUGAGUAAUUAUUGUACUUGAAUACUAUAAAGUUUGAUUAUUAUUUUUGUUUUAAUUUUGUUACCACGGCUGCAUGUAUAAAUUAGAUUAAUGGAUCGGCGCUCCAUAACUUCCGGCGUCUUCGAUUGUUCUGGUUAAUUGGAUACUGAUAAAAAAAUUAUUUGAGAACUACUGAAUUAAAGUGAC
RNAcentral lists this long non-coding RNA (962 nucleotides) under Panax ginseng (ginseng). Its description in RNAcentral is "long non-coding RNA (PGIN_LNC015034)". Lineage: Eukaryota; Viridiplantae; Streptophyta; Magnoliopsida; Apiales; Araliaceae. The record is from RNAcentral.